RNAcentral lists this ribosomal RNA (465 nucleotides) under Vreelandella stevensii. Its description in RNAcentral is "partial 16S ribosomal RNA". It matches the Rfam family "Bacterial small subunit ribosomal RNA", at positions 338 to 795 of the family's 1533-position model. Lineage: Bacteria; Pseudomonadati; Pseudomonadota; Gammaproteobacteria; Oceanospirillales; Halomonadaceae. The record is from RNAcentral.
CCUACGGGCUGCUGCAGUGGGGAAUAUUGGACAAUGGGCGAAAGCCUGAUCCAGCCAUGCCGCGUGUGUGAAGAAGGCCUUCGGGUUGUAAAGCACUUUCAGUGGGGAAGAAAGCCUUGGGGCUAAUACCCUCGAGGAAGGACAUCACCCACAGAAGAAGCACCGGCUAACUCCGUGCCAGCAGCUGCGGUAAUACGGAGGGUGCGAGCGUUAAUCGGAAUUACUGGGCGUAAAGCGCGCGUAGGCGGUCUGAUAAGCCGGUUGUGAAAGCCCCGGGCUCAACCUGGGAACGGCAUCCGGAACUGUCAGGCUAGAGUGAAGGAGAGGAAGGUAGAAUUCCCGGUGUAGCGGUGAAAUGCGUAGAGAUCGGGAGGAAUACCAGUGGCGAAGGCGGCCUUCUGGACUGACACUGACGCUGAGGUGCGAAAGCGUGGGUAGCAAACAGGAUUAGAUACCCGGGUAGUC